Molecule: long non-coding RNA, 2103 nt
Filed under: Malus domestica (apple)
Lineage: Eukaryota; Viridiplantae; Streptophyta; Magnoliopsida; Rosales; Rosaceae
Description: long non-coding RNA (MDOM_LNC005615)
Source: RNAcentral
CUUGUAAUGACUCAGAUAGCUCAAAACAUCACAAUGGUUCCCCAUUGAAUCUUUUCCAAUACAGAGUUACCCUAUCCACGAAGUACCGCUUGGUUGUCCCUUUCAACUUACAUGUGUACUUGACAUUAUUUGGCAAUGUUCCAUCAAUAAAGAAGGUCAGGUAUGGGGACCUUCAAUCAUCAGUGAUGGAAACUGCAAAUGCCUCCUCUGGGGAAAGUGUUCUGCUACAUUUUGGACAAUCGGCUUGGAUGCAUGUGGCUUGUUGCUUCAUCUCUAGCCAGUAGUACCAUUUUCUUUGUAGUCGGCAAUACAGACUCAUAACUUGAUCAACUCUGCAUAUAGUCUUAUGGAUCUCGUGCAACUGUUUUUGUGCUUCUUUUAGUCUAAGGCAUCGGGUUAGCAUUCCUCUUAGUAGAUGCUUAUAGGGCUCGUUUGUUUGACCGGCUUAGGGAAGACUGGACUGGACUAGACUGUAGUCCUUUGUUUGGUCUGCACCAGGAUUAGGUUUAAUGACUUUAGGUUGGACUCGCUCGAAUUAUACACCUCCUUACGAGUUCUUAACGAGGAUCCCCAAUUUCGGGCAGACUCGUAAGCGCUUCUGAUAGAGAGAAAACCGCGAGAGAGUCACUCAUCCAAGAACCCCCCAACAUCGCUCGUUCUGCUCGUCUUCAUCUUUGUGUCUUCCCUCAUCGUCGUCCUUGCUCUGUUCUCUCAUCGUCAUCCUUUUCACCCUCAUCUCUACGUCUUCCCUCAUCUGUAUCUAUUCUCCCUCAUCUGGUCUCAGUUGUCUAGUAAACUUCGAAUCUUCGAUUUAUUUCGUCGAUUUGUUUUGCAGAUCGUGAUAUUACUGAGCUUUAUUUGAUUUUGUUGUUUUGGGUUUGAGAAAUUUUCAAUCAUAAACCUCUACACUUGAACAAAUUAGGGUUUUGAUUUUUAGGUCAAAUUAAGAUUAGAAUUUGGGGUUUUCAUAUUUCAACUUUUCUUUCAAAUCCGAACUCAGAAACCAUGCUUGGCCAUAAAAUCGACAAGUUUCUUUUGCAGAAAGGACACAUACUUCCAUCUCUGUUAUGUUAGCAUAAAUCUGUGUGGAUUUUCAUUUUUAUGUUCUUGUUUCACGAAUCUUUACCAGUUUCUCUUUUUUAUUUUAUUAAAUUGCAUGUAGGCUUGGAUGUUUGUGAAUUGUUUGGAUGAGAAAUUAUGUGAGCUGAAGAAAUUUUUGUUAUGCACUCUUUAAUGGUUUGUGGUUAUGUUCAAAGUCAUAUCCUAUAUUUGGUUUUGUUUCUGCAUUUUUUUAUUUCCUUUUACCUUCCUCGGACCACCUUGUUUGAAUGGCAUUGGAGAUAGGCAGGAAGCAAUUCCAUAUGUCCUGUCAAUGCCCAACCAUGAUAUUACAAUGUGAAUGUUUUGUACCAUGUGGGGUUGAUGCUGAACUGCAAUAUUCUAUGGUUGUUGGUUGCAGAGAAGAGGAGCAUAAACGAAAGUGGCCAGUGCUCAGAACCCAAGGGAAAACAAGUAACAAACGACUCAAAACCCUCAAGUCUAGAAGAAGGUAUAAUUCCUAAACCCAUAGAUCAAUUUUCGACAUGGAUCUACUGAAUGUAGUCCUUGGAUGUGUGAAAGUCUGCGUUUCAUCUAUGUGAAUAUGACUUCUGUUAUAUUAUAGAAAAACCAAACUGUUUAGGCAAUGUAAAAAUACGAUAUUGUUGGAAAUUUGGAAUUAGGGUUGGUGGAGGAAGUGUGUGAUUGAAAGUUUAGGGCUUUGGGGAUAUUGGGGAUUUUUAGUUUUUUGGUGGGAAGAAGCCAAUGCCAUUGGAGAAGGUUUAAGGGUUCUUUUGGUUGCAGUUUCAAGUUCCCAAUUUCCCAAUAGGAUUAAGAGGAGGAGGAAUACUUCUUACUUCAUGUCGUGGGCUAGGGUAGAAGAUACUUUCCUUUCCACUUCUCUUGCCACCUACCUUGACAGUCCUUUCUCUCUCUCUUUCUCUCUCUCUCUCUCUCUCUCUCUCUCUCUCUCUCUCUCUCUCUCUCUCUCUCUCUCUCUCUCUCUCUCUCUCUCUUCCCCUUUCUCUCUAGAUCUAAUUUGAAGUGAUUGAAAAUUGGGUUUUG